Molecule: ribosomal RNA, 447 nt
Filed under: uncultured bacterium
Lineage: Bacteria
Description: bacterial SSU rRNA
Rfam family: Bacterial small subunit ribosomal RNA
Source: RNAcentral
UGGGGAAUAUUGGACAAUGGGCGAAAGCCUGAUCCAGCAAUGCCGCGUGAGUGAUGAAGGCCUUAGGGUUGUAAAGCUCUUUUACCAGGGAUGAUAAUGACGGUACCCCAAGAAGAAGCUCCGGCUAACUUCGUGCCAGCAGCCGCGGUAAUACGAAGGGGGCUAGCGUUGUUCGGAUUUACUGGGCGUAAAGCGCGUGUAGGCGGGCUGGAAAGUUGGGGGUGAAAUCCCGAGGCUCAACCUCGGAACUGCCUCCAAAACUUCCAGCCUGGACUCAAGUAGAGGCAAGUGGAAUUGCGAGUGUAGAGGUGAAAUUCGUAGAUAUUCGCAGGAACACCAGUGGCGAAGGCGACUUGCUGGACUUGUAGUGACGCUGAGACGCGAAAGCGUGGGGAGCAAACAGGAUUAGAUACCCCUGUAGUCCCUGAGCGGGCUGGCAAGGCGCAU